RNAcentral lists this long non-coding RNA (654 nucleotides) under Equus caballus (horse). Its description in RNAcentral is "lncRNA (ENSECAG00000053474.1)". The record is from RNAcentral. Lineage: Eukaryota; Metazoa; Chordata; Mammalia; Perissodactyla; Equidae.
CACCAGGCUGAGGAUCACAUACAAGUGAUGGCAGAAGGGUAGGAUGGAAGGAACGGGAGUUGCUAACAAAUUCAUACGUCUGUCAUGUCAACACUGCACUGCCUAUCUUGGGAUUUCUAAGUGAGAAGUAAAAACAUCCAACUAAUAUACCAGGAUAUCGUGAGAUUAAUGGCUUUAUUUGUUUGAAAAUGCUUUUUACAACACAAGGCUCUAUACAAAUUACCUACUUAAAAUACUCCUCAUCACUAUUUGCAGAAUCUAAGUCACAUGAGGGAAGAAAGAUAUUUUGGAGUCUCUACUAAAUACAUACCCAGGAUAAUGUUUGGCAGGAAGAAGAUAGGUUAAAGAUCUAGGAGAAAAGAAGAACCUAAUAUGCUGCUUAAACUCACUAAGAUCUUCACCUUCAGCUAGAUUUCCAUAAAUUCUUCUUGUGAUUAAGGAUUGGACCAGCCAAGUGGAUUAGCAGGGAAGACUACAAUUUAAUACUAUUAACUACUUGACCUAUGAUGCUUCAUCAGAUUGGAGUACUUCUCCAGGCAUCAAAGGACCCCUCCUGUGAACGUGAUAAGGGAAUACAUUAUUAUUGUGAUCAAAACUGAAAUGGAAGUAAAAGACAAAGAGAGAAAGAAACAGAAAUAGAAACAAUAAAAGUAA